Molecule: long non-coding RNA, 883 nt
Filed under: Homo sapiens (human)
Lineage: Eukaryota; Metazoa; Chordata; Mammalia; Primates; Hominidae
Source: RNAcentral
GGACUCGCGUGAGUGCGCGUGCGUUGGGGCCUCAGCCUUUAUCUCCACUCUGCGGAGAUUCACGCCUGGAAAACGCUCUUCUGAGAGGAUCUGUGGAGGUCAACCCAGGAGAGAGAAGACAGGACUGAAGCACUGAAAGGGUCCUGCCGUUAAGGGCGCAGGAUUGUAUAGAAUAUAUAAUAGCAGUAGCAGCUCUGUUUACGGAGCAUUAACCUUACGUGGAGUUAUUUCCUGCAUUUCCUCCUUUCGUCUUUACAAGGUAGCCGUUUGGCGUCGUGAGGUAUGGAUGUUCCCAUCCCUAAUUUGCAAAAUAGGUAACUGAGGCUCAGGAGAGCUAGACUAGUUUGUGCACAGCCGAGAAGUGGUCAAGCUAGAAUGGGACCCCAGGUUUGUGCUCCCUACUCUCCACCGAUAACCUAUCAAAGGGCUUUGCAAGAGCUUUUGACUAAUCGUCUGUCAAUGGUUCUUCAUUCACGUAUUAAUUGCACAUCAGUAUGUGCCAAAUCUACUAGACAUUGGAGAAACAGUAGGAACAACACAUGGUACCGGCACAUGGAUCUUUCAGGAAAACGAAGUAGGUAAUAAACAGGAAAAAGCCCGAGUCUGAUGCUAAGAAGAACAUAAACAGGAUGCUGAGCGGAAAGUGACCAGAAGAGGUGUGCAGUUUCCAGGCCUGGCCCAUACAGACCUCCAACAGGUGCUCCCCUGUGCUGUUACUCCUUCUGCCAACUGGAAGCAGAUGGUGACCAGGCUCUGGAGAAGGCAAGGCCUGAAGAUGGGAGAUUCCUAAGUGGAGGAGAACUGUGCCUUACUGACCUAAAUAUCCACUCAGUAUUGUUAUGUGAGAAUAAAUAAACUUGUGUUGACCGUUUACUUACUUUGA